GUGGGGAAUUUUGGACAAUGGACGAAAGUCUGAUCCAGCAACGCCGCGUGGGGGAUGAAGGUCUUCGGAUUGUAAACCUCUUUUGGAGAAGAUGAGUCCCGUCGCAAGACGGGAGGACAGUAUUCUCAGAAUAAGCCACGGCUAACUACGUGCCAGCAGCCGCGGUAAUACGUAGGUGGCUAGCGUUACUCGGAAUUACUAGGUGUAAAGCGCAGGUAGGUGGUCUGAUAAGUUGAGGGUGAAAGCCCCGAUGAAAUCGGGGACGUCUUUCAAUACUGUCAGGCUUGAGUGUGGUAGGGGGAACCAGAAUUCCCGGUGUAGCGGUGAAAUGCGUAGAUAUCGGGAGGAAUACCGAUGGCGAAAGCGGGUUCCUGGGCCAUUACUGACACUGAGCUGCGAAAGCGUGGGGAGCAAACAGGAUUAGAAACCCUAGUAGUCC
RNAcentral lists this ribosomal RNA (439 nucleotides) under uncultured bacterium. RNAcentral's name for it is "bacterial SSU rRNA". It matches the Rfam family "Bacterial small subunit ribosomal RNA", at positions 354 to 796 of the family's 1533-position model. The record is from RNAcentral.